RNAcentral lists this ribosomal RNA (301 nucleotides) under uncultured bacterium. RNAcentral's name for it is "partial 16S ribosomal RNA". It matches the Rfam family "Bacterial small subunit ribosomal RNA", at positions 509 to 807 of the family's 1533-position model. The record is from RNAcentral.
CAGCAGCCGCGGGAAUACGAAGGGUGCAAGCGUUAAUCGGAAUUACUGGGCGUAAAGCGCGCGUAGGUGGUUCAUUAAGUUGGAUGUGAAAGCCCUGGGCUCAACCUGGGAACUGCAUCCAAAACUGGUGAGCUAGAGUACGGUAGAGGGUAGUGGAAUUUCCUGUGUAGCGGUGAAAUGCGUAGAUAUAGGAAGGAACACCAGUGGCGAAGGCGACUACCUGGACUGAUACUGACACUGAGGUGUGAAAGCGUGGGGAGCAAACAGGAUUAGAUACCCCCGUAGUCCCUGUCUCUUAUAC